AUUGAACGCUGGCGGCAGGCCUAACACAUGCAAGUCGAGCGGAUGAAGGGAGCUUGCUCCUGGAUUCAGCGGCGGACGGGUGAGUAAUGCCUAGGAAUCUGCCUGGUAGUGGGGGAUAACGUCCGGAAACGGGCGCUAAUACCGCAUACGUCCUGAGGGAGAAAGUGGGGGAUCUUCGGACCUCACGCUAUCAGAUGAGCCUAGGUCGGAUUAGAUAGUUGGUGGGGUAAAGGCCUACCAAGGCGACGAUCCGUAACUGGUCUGAGAGGAUGAUCAGUCACACUGGAACUGAGACACAGUCCAGACUCCUACGGGAGGCAGCAGUGGGGAAUAUUGGACAAUGGGCGAAAGCCUGAUCCAGCCAUGCCGCGUGUGUGAAGAAGGUCUUCGGAUUGUAAAGCACUUUAAGUUGGGAGGAAGGGCAGUAAGUUAAUACCUUGCUGUUUUGACGUUACCAACAGAAUAAGCACCGGCUAACUUCGUG
Molecule: ribosomal RNA, 484 nt
Filed under: uncultured bacterium
Lineage: Bacteria
Description: partial 16S ribosomal RNA
Rfam family: Bacterial small subunit ribosomal RNA
Source: RNAcentral